CCUACGGGAGGCAGCAGUGAGGAAUAUUGGUCAAUGGGCGCAGGCCUGAACCAGCCAAGUCGCGUGAGGGAAGACUGCCCUAUGGUUUGUAACCCUCUUUUAUAAGGGAAGAAUAAUGACUACGUGUAGUCAGAUGCCCGUACCUUAUGAAUAAGCAUCGGCUAACUCCGUGCCAGCAGCCGCGGUAAUACGGAGGAUGCGAGCGUUAUCCGGAUUUAUGGGGUUUAAAGGGUGCGUAGGCGGUAUUUUAAGUUAGUGGUAAAACGUCGGGGCUUAAACUUGAGUCGCCAUUAAAACAGGAGAAUAAGAGUAAAGAAGAGGUAGGCGGAAUAAUUAAAG
This 339-nucleotide ribosomal RNA is filed under the name uncultured bacterium. RNAcentral's name for it is "partial 16S ribosomal RNA". It matches the Rfam family "Bacterial small subunit ribosomal RNA", at positions 338 to 675 of the family's 1533-position model. The record is from RNAcentral.